This 144-nucleotide small RNA is filed under the name Pseudomonas sp. AS2.8. RNAcentral's name for it is "PrrF RNA". It matches the Rfam family "PrrF RNA". From Rfam's summary of the family: PrrF RNA is a small RNA involved in iron homeostasis and is found exclusively in Pseudomonas species. The record is from RNAcentral. Lineage: Bacteria; Pseudomonadati; Pseudomonadota; Gammaproteobacteria; Pseudomonadales; Pseudomonadaceae.
UUGACGAUGGAAUGAGAAUUGUUAUUAUUCAACUCAGCCGGUCGCGAGAUCGGUCGAUAACUGGAGGUCCAGCAGUGGUCUUCGGGUUAUCUCCUCAUCAGGCUAAUCACGGUUUUGGACCCGGCUCUGCCGGGUCUUUUUUUG